CAGCAGCCGCGGGAAUACAGAGGGUGCAAGCGUUAAUCGGAUUUACUGGGCGUAAAGGGCGCGUAGGUGGUUAUGUAAGUGAGAUGUGAAAUCCCCGGGCUCAACCUGGGAACUGCAUCUUAUACUGCGUAGCUGGAGUGCAGUAGAGGGUAGUGGAAUUUCCGGUGUAGCGGUGAAAUGCGUAGAUAUCGGAAGGAACACCAGUGGCGAAGGCGGCUACCUGGACUGACACUGACACUCAGGCGCGAAAGCGUGGGGAGCAAACAGGAUUAGAUACCCCCGUAGUCCCUGUCUCUUAUCC
RNAcentral lists this ribosomal RNA (301 nucleotides) under uncultured bacterium. RNAcentral's name for it is "partial 16S ribosomal RNA". It matches the Rfam family "Bacterial small subunit ribosomal RNA", at positions 509 to 809 of the family's 1533-position model. The record is from RNAcentral.